GGCGAUGUUUGAUCAUGGCUCAGGACGAACGCUGGCGGCGCGCCUAAUACAUGCAAGUCGAGCGAGAACCAGGGCUUGCCCUGGGGAGAGCGGCGAACGGGUGCGUAUCACGUGAGCAACCUGCCCCGAAGACCGGGAUAACUCGAGGAAACUCGGGCUAAUACCGGAUGCCCUCGAUGGACCGCAUGGUCCGACGAGGAAAUGGAUUCCGCUUCGGGAUGGGCUCGCGGCCUAUCAGCUUGUUGGUGGGGUAACGGCCUACCAAGGCAACGACGGGUAGCUGGUCUGAGAGGACGAUCAGCCACACUGGGGCUGAGACACGGCCCAGACUCCUACGGGAGGCAGCAGUAGGGAAUCUUGCGCAAUGGGCGAAAGCCUGACGCAGCGACGCCGCGUGCGGGAUGAAGGCCUUCGGGUCGUAAACCGCUUUCAGCAGGGACGAAAUUGACGGUACCUGCAGAAGAAGGCCCGGCCAACUACGUGCCAGCAGCCGCGGUAAUAGCU
This 504-nucleotide ribosomal RNA is filed under the name uncultured bacterium. RNAcentral describes it as "bacterial SSU rRNA". It matches the Rfam family "Bacterial small subunit ribosomal RNA", at positions 1 to 528 of the family's 1533-position model. The record is from RNAcentral.